UGAGGAAUAUUGGUCAAUGGGCGCAAGCCUGAACCAGCCAUGCCGCGUGCAGGAUGACGGUCCUAUGGAUUGUAAACUGCUUUUGUACGAGAAGAAACAACAUUACGUGUAAUGUUUUGACGGUAUCGUAAGAAUAAGGAUCGGCUAACUCCGUGCCAGCAGCCGCGGUAAUACGGAGGAUCCAAGCGUUAUCCGGAAUCAUUGGGUUUAAAGGGUCCGUAGGCGGUUUAGUAAGUCAGUGGUGAAAGCCCAUCGCUCAACGGUGGAACGGCCAUUGAUACUGCUGAACUUGAAUUAUUAGGAAGUAACUAGAAUAUGUAGUGUAGCGGUGAAAUGCUUAGAGAUUACAUGGAAUACCAAUUGCGAAGGCAGGUUACUACUAAUGGAUUGACGCUGAUGGACGAAAGCGUGGGUAGCGAACAGGAUUAGAUACCCUGGUAGUCCACGCCGUAAACGAUGGAUACUAGCUGUUGGGAGCAAUUUCAGUGG
RNAcentral lists this ribosomal RNA (489 nucleotides) under uncultured Bacteroidota bacterium. Its description in RNAcentral is "bacterial SSU rRNA". It matches the Rfam family "Bacterial small subunit ribosomal RNA", at positions 355 to 846 of the family's 1533-position model. Lineage: Bacteria; Pseudomonadati; Bacteroidota. The record is from RNAcentral.